GAUGAACGCUGGCGGCGUGCUUAACACAUGCAAGUCGAACGGUGAAGCCCGGGCUUUGUCUGCUGGAUCAGUGGCGAACGGGUGAGUAACACGUGAGCAAUCUGCCCCUGACUCUGGGAUAAGCGCUGGAAACGGCUGCUAAUACUGGAUACGAGCUGCGAUUGCAUCUUCAGCUGCUGGAAAGAAUUUCGGUCAGGGAUGAUCUCGCGGCCGAUCAGCUUGUUGGUGAGGUAGUGGCUCACGAAGGCGUCGACGGGUAGCGGGCCUGAGAGGGUGACCGGCCACAUUGGGACUAGGAUCCGGCCCAGACUCCUAGGGGAGGCAGCAGUGGGGAAUACUGAACCAUGGUGGAGAGCCUGAUGGAGAAACGCCGCGUGAGGGACGAUGGCCUCCGCGUUGUAAACCGCUUUUGCCGCGGAAGAAGCGGAAGUGACGGUACUUGCUGAAAAAGCGCCGGCUAACUACGUG
Molecule: ribosomal RNA, 468 nt
Filed under: uncultured bacterium
Lineage: Bacteria
Description: partial 16S ribosomal RNA
Rfam family: Bacterial small subunit ribosomal RNA
Source: RNAcentral